This is an RNA transcript of Spinacia oleracea (spinach), 1207 nucleotides long. RefSeq lists it as uncharacterized. The transcript has 5 exons. The record is from RefSeq and is a predicted model, not a curated record. Lineage: Eukaryota; Viridiplantae; Streptophyta; Magnoliopsida; Caryophyllales; Amaranthaceae.
UUUCUAUUCACCCAAAAUCCCCUCCAUUACUAAAAUUUCACCCCUUUCAUUCCCCACGUUUCUCACCCCCCCUACAUCCCUACUUCUCACUGCUUCUUCCCAAAAGCACCACCCACCCCAAAGCACCACCAUGUCACGACUUCUAUAUACUCUCCUGUCCUGCGUUUCUCCCUCUGCUUCUCACUGGGGACUCGCCUACUGUUGGAAGGCGCUACCUAGCUACCGCAACCGCCUCCUCUCAUCUCCUGGGCAAAGACUAGUGCGCACCACCAUACCGUCGCCGACUUGCCUCUCGUUGAACACCGCAACCGCCUCCUCUCCUCUCCAUGUGCGGCGGAGCUAUUAACCUUGAAUUCGGUCUCCUUAUCCGCAACAACAUUUGCUUCAUAUCGCUGAAUUUUUUUUGAAUUGCAAUCAUCUAACUCGAUCUGCAGUAAAGACGAGGCAGAAACUGGAUAUGGCUAUCAGAUUUACAAUACCGAAAACUAGGGGAAGACGAAUUUUUUUCCGGCAGUGGUGAAAUUGGCAGUAUCAAAUUCCGGCGCGGGUGGUGGUGAGGUCCUUUGGUCCCGGUGUUUUGUGCUUCUUUACUCCCAAUUUUGUUUUACGAGAGAAAGUCAGAAUUAUAAAUUAUAUCAAUGUUACGAGUUGCGACAUUUGGUUUACAUAUUGAAUGUUCAUGAAGAAUGACAGAAUAUUUCGAAUCAUAUGGUGCUAACAAAAAAUUAAUUAUAUGAAUCAGAGACCUUAGUGACAAUCACAUUGGGGAUACAAGUCUUGCCAGUUUACCUCCCACGGAUCUCAUACGAUUUUCGCUUCUAUUUGCUGCUGUCACUGCUAGCUGCUGCUGUUACUGUCUGCUGCUGUUUCCGUCUGCUGAUGUUACUAUUUGCUGCUGUUACGUUUACUGUACUGCUGUACUGCUGUCACUGCUGCAUGUUGUCUGCUGUUGUUGUUUCUGUUGUUAGUAGAACAGUUGUUUGUUUGCAACUGCUAGCUCCUGUCUGCUAUUACUACUGCUGUUUAUUUGUUGUUGUGUUGAUUAGUAUGAAUUUGGUAGUCUAGAGUUCGAAGUCGACGAAGUUGACCGAAAUUGUCUUUCGUUUUGUUUUGAUUAUUAGAUUGUUUAGCCAAACAAAAAAUUUUGUGUUUGUGGAUGUUUUUUUAAGAAACUAUGAAAUUAUAUAAAUUCCAAUUAUUUAUCGUA